CCUAUCUUCUCCCUAGAUUACAAAGCUACAAGAUGAUAAUAAAGCACUGGACCGUCUUACUAAGUCAAAAGAGGCAGCUCUACUUGAUGCUGAGAGAACUGUGCAGUCAGCAUUAGCAAAGGCUUCUAUGGUGGAUGACCUUCAGAACAAGAACCAGGAAUUGAUGAAACAGAUAGAAAUAUGCCAGGUACGUUGAUCACAGAAAUGGUGCUUCUGCUGUUAUGAAUGUUAGACCACCUUGUUGUUAUUCUUUUAAUUUCUAAAUCAUCCUUCUUUAACUAUGUUUUUCUUACAAACAUACAUCAGGAAGAAAAUAAAAUACUGGACAGAAUGCAUAGACUAAAGGUUGCAGAGGUUGAAAAGCUUACCCAAACUGUACGUGAGCUUGAAGAGGCUGUUCUUGCUGGCGGUGCUGCUGCUAAUGCUGUCCGGGAUUACCAACGAAAAGUUCAAGAGAUGAAUGUAAUUCAUCCUAGCAAGACUUCAAUAAUAUAUA
RNAcentral lists this long non-coding RNA (496 nucleotides) under Nicotiana tabacum (common tobacco). Its description in RNAcentral is "long non-coding RNA (NTAB_LNC008838)". The record is from RNAcentral. Lineage: Eukaryota; Viridiplantae; Streptophyta; Magnoliopsida; Solanales; Solanaceae.